AGGGAGUGCGCAUGCGGCCGAGUGCGGGACUGGGGCUCCUGGCUGUGGGUGUGGUACCGAGGCUUCAGCGGGUGCCGCCCGCCUAGAGGGAGUGGAGCGGUGAGCACGUCAGGGGUGGGGGGCGCAGGUCAAGCUUUCACCAGUUUUUAAUUCUUUGAUGGGGUAAAUUUGAGCAAUUUUCUCGACUUGUCGACAUUCGUUAUUAACUGAGCAGGAAUCAGGAGAGGAACCCGGUCCUCUCCACACAGCCCAGCAGGUACGCCGCCCAUGUGCCUGUGGAGAAGAGAGGUUCCUGUGGGGCAGACAGAGAGCCUACGACUAGAUUUGCAUCUUUACGUCCUGCGCGGAGGCUGCUACACACAUGCAGAAGUCAUGCUGGUGGCCUGGACAGUGAAGGGAGAGAAGUGGAUUUGGGAGACAUUUAGGAGAUGGCACCAAAAGCGAAGGAAGCUCCUGCUCAUCCUAAAGCCGAAGCCAAAGCGAAGGCUUUAAAGGCCAAGAAGGCAGUGUUGAAAGGUGUCCGCAGCCACACGCAAAAAAGAAGAUCCGCAUGUCACUCACCUUCAGGCGGCCCAAGACACUGCGACUCCGGAGGCAGCCCAGAUAUCCUCGGAAGAGCACCCCCAGGAGAAACAAGCUUGGCCACUAUGCUAUCAUCAAGUUUCCGCUGGCCACUGAGUCGGCCGUGAAGAAGAUAGAAGAAAACAACACGCUUGUGUUCACUGUGGAUGUUAAAGCCAACAAGCACCAGAUCAGACAGGCUGUGAAGAAGCUCUAUGACAGUGAUGUGGCCAAGGUCACCACCCUGAUUUGUCCUGAUAAGGAGAACAAGGCAUAUGUUCGACUUGCUCCUGAUUAUGAUGCUUUCGAUGUUGUAACAAAAUUGGGAUCACCUAAACUGAGUCCAGCUGGCUAACUCUAAAUAUAUGUGUAUCUUUUCAGCAUAAAAAAAUAAUGUUUUUCAUAAGAAUGACAACUUAAUUAGAAUCAAAUCUAUAAGCUUUAAGAUUUUACGUUUCUAGUAAGUAUAAUAUUAGCUUAUUUGACUAGAACUCAAGCAGAAUAGGAAUUUAUGCUUGUUUUAUAUUCAAUAAUGAUAAUUUUGAAGAUAUAGUUGUUUUAUUACACCAAAAAUACUAUAUUAAUCUUAUUUAACUAAGUUUUAUCCAAAUCAUGUUAACUUAAGAAACAUUUGAUCAGUUCCUAUAUUUCUAGGAGUUUGGUGAAUAUUUAUUUAUAAAUGCUUAUUUUUUUCCAAGCCAAGUUAGAAUAGAGCACUUUUAGAGGAUUUCAUAAAUGAAUUUUGCAAUGCUCUCUGGAGUUAAGAAAAUAUCACAUAUACAUAACAUACAUUAAUAGAUACACAAACACAAAUAGAGAUUUCAUAGCUUUCAUCCUGAAAUUUCAGCCAUGAAUCAGGCAUAAAUAUUCUGAUGGUUAAUUUCAGACAUCUACUUGAUCGGAUUGAGAGACACGCAUAGCUGGUCAAACACGAUUUCAGCCAUGAAUCAGGCAUAAAUAUUCUGAUGGUUAAUUUUAGACAUCUACUUGACUGGAUUAAGAGACACACAUAGCUGGUCAAACAUGAUUUCUGACAUGAAUCAGGCAUAAAUAUUCUGACGGUUAAUUUUAGACAUCUACUUGACUGGAUUAAGAGACACACAUAGCUGGUCAAACAUGAUUUCAGCCAUGAAUCAGCCAUAAAUAUUCUGACGGUUAAUUUUAGACAUCUACUUGAUCGGAUUGAGAGACACACAUAGCUGGUCAAACACGAUUUCAGCCAUGAAUCAGGCAUAAAUAUUCUGAUGGUUAAUUUUAGACAUCUACUUGAGUGGAUUGAGAGACACACAUAGCUGGUCAAACACAAUUUCAGCCAUGAAUCAGGCAUAAAUAUUCUGAUGGUUAAUUUUAGACAUCUACUUGAGUGGAUUGAGAGACACACAUAGCUGGUCAAACAAUUUCAGCCAUGAAUCAGGCAUAAAUAUUCUGACGGUUAAUUUUAGACAUCUACUUGAGUGGAUUGAGAGACACACAUAGCUGGUCAAACACGAUUUCAGCCAUGAAUCAGGCAUAAAUAUUCUGACGGUUAAUUUUAGACAUCAACUUGACUGGAUUAAGGGACACACAUAGCUGGUCAAACACGAUUUCAGCCAUGAAUCAGGCAUAAAUAUUCUGACGGUUAAUCGUAGACGUCUACUUGACUGGAUUGAGAGACACACAUAGCUGGUCAAACACGAUUUCAGCCAUGAAUCAGGCAUAAAUAUUCUGAUGGUUAAUCGUAGACAUCUACUUAACUGGAUUGAGAGACACACAUAGCUGGUCAAACACGAUUUCAGCCAUGAAUCAGGCAUAAAUAUUCUGAUGGUUAAUCGUAGACAUCUACUUGACUGGAUUGAGAGACACACAUAGCUGGUCAAACACGAUUUCAGCCAUGAAUCAGGCAUAAAUAUUCUGAUGGUUAAUCGUAGACAUCUACUUGACUGGAUUGAGAGACACACAUAGCUGGUCAAACACGAUUUCAGCCAUGAAUCAGGCAUAAAUAUUCUGAUGGUUAAUCGUAGACAUCUACUUGACUGGAUUGAGAGACACACAUAGCUGGUCAAACACGAUUUCAGCCAUGAAUCAGGCAUAAAUAUUCUGAUGGUUAAUCGUAGACGUCUACUUGACUGGAUUGAGAGACACACACAGCUGGUCAAACACGAUUUCUGGGCAUAUCUAUGAGGGUGUUUCUGGAAGACACUGAGAUAACCAUGACCCAAUGUGGAUGGGCACUGAUAUGGUUUGGCUGUGUCCCCACCCAGAUCUCAUCUUGAAUUGUAGUUCCUGUAAUACCUACAUGUCGUGGGAGGGACCCAAUGGGAGGUGACUGAAUCAUGGUGGUGGUUACCGCCAUGCUGUUCUCAUGACAGUGAGUGAGUUCUCAUGAUCUGAUGGUUUUAUAAGGGGCUUUUCCCCUUUGGGUCAGCACUUCUUGUUGCUGCCAUGUGAAGAGGGACAGCUUUGCUUCCCCUUCUGCCAUGAUUGUGAGGCCCCUGCAGCCAUGUGGAACUGUCAGCCCAUUAAACCCCUUUGUUCUUUAUAAA
Long non-coding RNA from Homo sapiens (human), 3083 nucleotides. Ensembl annotates it as ribosomal protein L23a pseudogene 7. Its record names the gene RPL23AP7. NCBI's taxonomy places the organism in Eukaryota, Metazoa, Chordata, Mammalia, Primates, Hominidae. The record is from Ensembl.